CAAGCUCGAGCGUCAGGUGGAGCUUCUACGGGAAGAAAACAUCCAUUGUUCGAAGCGCGAAACUAGAGGAGAGGUCGGGAGGGAUUGAAAAGCUUUUUCUAAUGGCGUUUAUGAGAGGAGAGCCAUUGGUGGCGAAGCUCGCAUUACUUGCAAGGUAUGGAGUUCUUCCAGGGGCCAUGGUGGCUGCUUUGAUCUUCUCCCCGCCGCAGGAGACUAACAAGAAGAACAGUUCUUCUUCCAAGUAGAACGUCUUCUCUUUCAAAGAAAAAAAAAAAAAAUCAGCCAUUCGUGGUGAUGGUGCAUGUGCUGAACAUGUGGAGAUCCACAAGGUUGCUGGGUCUUGCAAUAAUUCUUCUCCAUAAAUUCUUGUUUUUGUUUAAACCAAAUGUUCAUUGAUAGAUUCCAAGUAUAGUCUGGACUUGAAUUUUUCUUUGAAUAAAUGUAGAGUUUGUGCAUCAUGAACAAGUGCAAGAUGGUCUUGAUCUAGUCCAUCGAGAAUUUGAGGUAGAUAAAAAUGUGAAUCUUGCUGUCAUUCAUAAUAUGGAAUCACACUGAAUUACUUGUUGGAA
Macadamia integrifolia is the source of this 569-nucleotide long non-coding RNA. RefSeq lists it as uncharacterized. NCBI's taxonomy places the organism in Eukaryota, Viridiplantae, Streptophyta, Magnoliopsida, Proteales, Proteaceae. The record is from RefSeq and is a predicted model, not a curated record. The transcript has 2 exons.